UCUAAGUGGUCGAUAGGGUCGGCUGUCCUAUCGUAGAUCUCUAGCUGAGGUAGCUUGAAGUGCUGAGGGAGUGGCUCCUGUACUAUCUUCUAGAUGAAGGGCAGCUCACUGUUAAAUCCCUCAUAGGGUUGCACUGAGGAGUGGUUAUUGUUGAGUGCAUUCUCAAUCUUUUUUUCUAUUUGUUUGUUGGGUGCCUGGAACCAUCUUUCAAUAUCAAGAUCUCAGACGAUGCAGGCCUCGAAAUGCUACUGAGAAUGACGAUUGAGGGUUGAAUCAUGCCCCGAUCACGAACUAAGAGAUCUCCGUCUAGUGUAUUGUUGGGCCCUAGAACGGCUCUAAUGAGUGUGUCUUCUCUUUGGGCUCUAAGGAGGCAUACGCAGCUCUGAUCGUGGUGGUGACUGAGGAGCUGAGUGUAGAACUAGAUUCGAUGGGGGCACUACCGCGGGAGGCACCGAUGGUGCCACCAAAAAGGACACCGAUUGCACCGCUAAAGGAGGUACAGGGGCAGCCUGAGCAGGCUGCGGCACC
Molecule: long non-coding RNA, 528 nt
Filed under: Elaeis guineensis (African oil palm)
Lineage: Eukaryota; Viridiplantae; Streptophyta; Magnoliopsida; Arecales; Arecaceae
Description: long non-coding RNA (EGUI_LNC033776)
Source: RNAcentral